UUUUUUUUUUUUUUUUUUUGACGGAGAAUACACAAAGAGAAUACACACGGAGGACUGAGACAACAUAGAAAUCUUAUUUAUUGUAGUCAGAUGCGUGAAUUAAGUUGGCAAGAAGAGAUAGCAAUUGCACUGCAUUUUUGCUAGAUACACAGUGGGAAACUUCCUGUUAUAUUUUUUAUUAUUAAGAUCAAAUGAUUCCUUCAGAAAACAAAAUAUAUAGGUCAUAGGAUCUACUGGGUUCAUUUGUAACUGGGUGUUGGAACCAGGAUGCUGCAUUGAUAAAUAUUUACAAGGAAAAAUGAUAAUUGUAGAAUGAGGAUUUGGAUUUGAGCA
Molecule: unclassified non-coding RNA, 333 nt
Filed under: Hevea brasiliensis (rubber tree)
Lineage: Eukaryota; Viridiplantae; Streptophyta; Magnoliopsida; Malpighiales; Euphorbiaceae
Source: RNAcentral